Molecule: transfer RNA, 62 nt
Filed under: Trigonidium sjostedti
Lineage: Eukaryota; Metazoa; Arthropoda; Insecta; Orthoptera; Trigonidiidae
Description: tRNA-His
Source: RNAcentral
ACUUAGUUAGUUUAAAAGAAUUUUGAUUUGUGGAAUCAAGGGUGUAGAAUAUACACUAAGUU